CCUACGGGUGGCAGCAGUCGAGAAUCAUUCACAAUGGGGGAAACCCUGAUGGUGCGACGCCGCGUGGGGGAAUGAAGGUCUUCGGAUUGUAAACCCCUGUCAUGUGGGAGCAAAUUAAAAAGAUAGUACCACAAGAGGAAGAGACGGCUAACUCUGUGCCAGCAGCCGCGGUAAUACAGAGGUCUCAAGCGUUGUUCGGAAUCACUGGGCGUAAAGCGUGCGUAGGCUGUUUCGUAAGUCGUGUGUGAAAGGCGCGGGCUCAACCCGCGGACGGCACAUGAUACUGCGAGACUAGAGUAAGGGAGGGGGAACCGGAAUUCUCGGGGUAGCAGUGAAAUGCGUAGAUAUCGAGAGGAACACUCGUGGCGAAGGCGGGUUCCUGGACAUUAACUGACGCUGAGGCACGAAGGCCAGGGGAGCGAAAGGGAUUAGAUACCCCAGUAGUC
Molecule: ribosomal RNA, 446 nt
Filed under: uncultured bacterium
Lineage: Bacteria
Description: partial 16S ribosomal RNA
Rfam family: Bacterial small subunit ribosomal RNA
Source: RNAcentral